AAGCUCUUCGAUAAUGGAGAAAAGUAAAUCAUUCCCUUACUAUUCAUCUUCUUAUGCAGAAGCUCGAUUUGGCUUUGAAGAUCGUGCUAAAUCAUUCAGUUUCAAUGGCCCGGAAGACAAUCCCGAGGUGAAGAGGAGGAAAAGAGUGGCAAGUUAUAACAUGUAUACCAUGGAAGGUAAGCUGAAGUCAUCGUUGAGAAAUGGUUUCAAGUGGAUUAAGAACAAAUUUACAGACAAAUAUGAUGGCUUGUGAAGUAUAAAAAGUACAUUUUCUCCUCUUUUGAUGUUUUAUCGAGUGCGCAUGUGUCUAUAUAAGAUCAAGUAUCAUUGAAAGUGUUCAUUUCUGGAUUUCAUUGUCCUUGCAAUAUUGUUAGUAUGGUCAUGUAUUACGAUUAUAUAAUAUUAGAUUGUAAUAGUUGAUGUAUCUAUAUUCGUCCCUUUUCUUGGCUUUAAAUGUAUAUCUAAAUGUAUAUGAUAAGCUGCGUGGAGAGCAAUUUCAAAUUGGUUUUAAGGUAACUUGUCGGAU
Molecule: long non-coding RNA, 526 nt
Filed under: Olea europaea subsp. europaea
Lineage: Eukaryota; Viridiplantae; Streptophyta; Magnoliopsida; Lamiales; Oleaceae
Source: RNAcentral